Molecule: ribosomal RNA, 470 nt
Filed under: uncultured bacterium
Lineage: Bacteria
Description: bacterial SSU rRNA
Rfam family: Bacterial small subunit ribosomal RNA
Source: RNAcentral
UAGUCCACACCGUAAACGCUGUCUACUAGCUGUUUGUGAAUUUAAUUCGUGAGUAGCGAAGCUAACGCGAUAAGUAGACCGCCUGGGGAGUACGGCCGCAAGGUUAAAACUCAAAUGAAUUGACGGGGGCCCGCACAAGCGGUGGAGCAUGUGGUUUAAUUCGAUGCAACGCGAAGAACCUUACCUACUCUUGACAUACUGAGAACUUAGUAGAGAUACUUUGGUGCCUUCGGGAACUCAGAUACAGGUGCUGCAUGGCUGUCGUCAGCUCGUGUCGUGAGAUGUUGGGUUAAGUCCCGCAACGAGCGCAACCCUUGUCCUUAGUUACCAGCAUUGAGUUGGGUACUUUAAGGAGACUGCCGGUGACAAACCGGNGGAAGGUGGGGACGACGUCAAGUCAUCACGGCCCUUACGAGUAGGGGCUACACACGUGCUACAAUGGCGAGUACAGAGGGGAAGCGAACUUGUGA